RNAcentral lists this ribosomal RNA (301 nucleotides) under uncultured bacterium. RNAcentral describes it as "partial 16S ribosomal RNA". It matches the Rfam family "Bacterial small subunit ribosomal RNA", at positions 509 to 807 of the family's 1533-position model. The record is from RNAcentral.
CAGUAGCCACGGGAAUACGAAGGGUGCAAGCGUUACUCGGAAUUACUGGGCGUAAAGCGUGCGUAGGUGGUGGUUUAAGUCUGUUGUGAAAGCCCUGGGCUCAACCUGGGAAUUGCAGUGGAAACUGGAUCACUAGAGUGUGGUAGAGGAUAGUGGAAUUUCCGGUGUAGCAGUGAAAUGCGUAGAGAUCGGAAGGAACAUCUGUGGCGAAGGCGGCCAUCUGGGACAACACUGACGCUGAGGCACGAAAGCGUGGGGAGCAAACAGGAUUAGAUACCCGAGUAGUCCCUGUCUCUUAUAC